GUACCAUGAGGACUGGACACGAGCCCACUGGGGGCUGUGGCUGUGAUGGCCCAGGAGCUCGGGGCCAGACUCUGCCAGGAGGGGGACCAGCACCUGGCCCUGGGGGAGCCCUCGCUGCCAUGGCUUUCUACCUGGUAGCCUUCAGCUGCCACGCCCCCUUGGCUGUGCGCAGCUUGAGGAGUGCCCUAGCUGAGGCCUGGGAGCAGGGACAGCCGGAUCCCCACUGUGCACUGGGACAGCAUGGCUGUGGUCUCCCUGACGGCCACCCUGGCCUCUGCCUUCCUGGGCGCCCUCUUCCCAGACCAGCCAGCCAUGGUGCUGCACGGGCUGGCCAGGCUGCUGGCCCGCGGGCACCACGAGGAGGUGGCUCUGCACUGUAGUGAGCUGCUGGACUCCUGCUCCCAGCCCAUGCUGGAGCUGGAGCCAUGCCCUAGCCUGGGUGCUGUCUGGGCCGCGGGCCACGGACGGUGUGGCCACUACCUGCGCGCCUCUACCUCCAGUGCCAACCACACCCUGGCCUUCGUCCACGUCCACCAGUGGCCCUACCUCCCUGCGCUGCUCCACGCCAUGCAGAGCCGCAUCUCGGAGCUGCCGGGGGCUGGGGAAAGGGACUGCUGGCAGCUCCUGGCAGCCCUGGAGCCCGAGGACAUCCCGAGUAAGACCCUGUUACCCGAGGCACUGCUGCAAAGCAGCAGGUAUGCGGACCACCUGGAGAUGUACAGCCAAGCCCUUCAGUUGGCCCCUGCUUGCAACAGCAAGGUGAGCGCCUGGCCACCCUGCUGCUCACGCGCGCCACCGCCGCCUUCUUCCUGGAGGGCCGCGCAGAGGACAUGCUGGGGGAUCUGCACGACGCCUUCCAAGGGAACCCCUCCGCCGCGCGCCCCGCUGUUCCAGGCCGUGCUGUCCGUCGGAAACCAGGAGCGGGUCCGGGCCCGGGCCCAGGCGGCCGCGGACCUGGGCUUCACCCACUUCCAGGAGGCCUUACAGAGCCGCCCCGAGCUCCGCGAAGAAGCGGAUCGCGAGCUGCUGGCACCAGUGACCUGCGCGCUCUGA
RNAcentral lists this long non-coding RNA (1053 nucleotides) under Oryctolagus cuniculus (rabbit). Its description in RNAcentral is "lncRNA (ENSOCUG00000033032.1)". Lineage: Eukaryota; Metazoa; Chordata; Mammalia; Lagomorpha; Leporidae. The record is from RNAcentral.